Molecule: long non-coding RNA, 367 nt
Filed under: Cicer arietinum (chickpea)
Lineage: Eukaryota; Viridiplantae; Streptophyta; Magnoliopsida; Fabales; Fabaceae
Description: long non-coding RNA (CARI_LNC001105)
Source: RNAcentral
AAAGUGUGGAGCAACGGAAGUCAUUUUCUUUAAAGAUUCAGCAUCAUGCUCAGGUGGCAAUUGAUGCUGCAUGUUAGCAAUAUAGUUAUGGUUUUCAUAAUGGCGAUGAAAAUCCUGAGUUGCAGAAUCCUUAUGAGUGUCAAGUUUAGGUGGUGCCAGCAUUGUUGUUGUCAUAUCUUCAAAGUCCUGAGUUGCAGAAUCCUUAUGAGUGUCAACUUUAGGUGGUGCCAGCAUUGUUGUUGUCAUAUCUUCAGUAUUAUGUAAGACAUCUUGUUGAGAGGUACACGUGAGACUGUUCUUUAUGAGCUGGAAAGCAGAUGUUUGGCACAAAAAUUUGGUUGUUGAUACCACUGCUGGCUCACUUAUA